RNAcentral lists this long non-coding RNA (419 nucleotides) under Macaca nemestrina (pig-tailed macaque). Its description in RNAcentral is "lncRNA (ENSMNEG00000046131.1)". Lineage: Eukaryota; Metazoa; Chordata; Mammalia; Primates; Cercopithecidae. The record is from RNAcentral.
CCCCAGGGAGGGUGGGGCUUUGCCCAUCUGCCCUCACUGCCUGCCCUGUCUUGCAGGAAUUUCUACAAGGAUUAUCAGCAGCUGGAGCUGGCCCGUGAGACACAGGAGGAGGUGAAGAGCUGGAAGUCCUCCUUUCUGAGGGCUGGCGUGUACCUUGAGUGUGUUGGGGCCAGCAAGACCGAGGGGAAUGGCUCCGAUAGCUUCAUGCACUCCAUGGACCACAGCUGGAGCAGCAAGUGGAGACCAUUCAGAACAUGGCCAUUGUCAACAAGAAUGUGCAGGACCUCAUGCCCAAGACCAUCAUCCACCUCAUGAUCAACAACGUGCAUGUGCCGCCUCAUGGGGACCAAGGAGUUCAUCUUCUUGGAGCUGCUGGCCAGCCUGUACUUGAGUGGGAACCAGAACAUGCUGAUGGAGGA